RNAcentral lists this transfer RNA (64 nucleotides) under Parcoblatta pensylvanica (Pennsylvania wood cockroach). RNAcentral describes it as "tRNA-Arg". The record is from RNAcentral. Lineage: Eukaryota; Metazoa; Arthropoda; Insecta; Blattodea; Blattellidae.
AAAUAAGAAGCUUAGUAGCAAUUAGUUUCGACCUAAUCUCAUGGUAUUAAAUUACCCUUAUUUU